Molecule: ribosomal RNA, 705 nt
Filed under: uncultured Boletales
Lineage: Eukaryota; Fungi; Basidiomycota; Agaricomycetes; Boletales
Description: eukaryotic LSU rRNA
Rfam family: Eukaryotic large subunit ribosomal RNA
Source: RNAcentral
AUCUAUCUAUCUAUUUAAUCAUGACCUCAAAUCAGGUAGGACUACCCGCUGAACUUAAGCAUAUCAAUAAGCGGAGGGAAAAGAACUAACAAGGAUUCCCCCUAGUAACUGCGAGUGAAGCGGGAAAAGCUCAAAUUUUAAAUCUGGUAGUCGUUUAGGCUAUCCGAAUUGUAAUCUAGAGAAGUGUAUUCCGUGUUGGCCUGUGUACAAGUCUCCUGGAAGGGAGCAUCAUAGAGGGUGAUAAUCCCGUCUUUGACACAGACUACCAAUGCUUAAUGUGUUACACUCUCAACGAGUCGAGUUGUUUGGGAAUGCAGCUCAAAAUGGGUGGUAAAUUCCAUCUAAAGCUAAAUACAGGCGAGAGACCGAUAGCGUACAAGUACCGUGAGGGAAAGACGAAAAGAACUUUGGAAAGAGAGUUAAACAGUACGUGAAAUUGCUAAAAGGGAAACGCUAGAUGUCCAGUCGCAUCUAUUAGGGAUCAACCUAGCUUUUCAAGCUUGGUGUAUUUCCUAGUAGAUGGGUCAGCAUCAGUUUUUGAUCUCUGUAAAAAGUUGAAUUGGAAUGUAGCAAUUUAUCCAAAUUGUGUUAUAGACUUUUCAUCCAAUAUACAGUGAUUAGGACUGAGGAUAAUUCAACUGCUGCAUACCUGUUUUUAGGAUUUGUGCAAAGGAUGCUGGCAUAAUGGCACUUAGCGACCCGUCU